ACGUGGCGGAGGCUACAACUCAGGUGAAGCGCGCCUUCGGGUGAGCGGCGGACGGGUUAGUAACGCGUGGGAACGUGCCCUUCUCUACGGAAUAGCCUCUGGAAACGGAGAGUAAUACCGUAUACGCCCUUUGGGGGAAAGAUUUAUCGGAGAAGGAUCGGCCCGCGUUAGAUUAGGUAGUUGGUGGGGUAACGGCCUACCAAGCCUACGAUCUAUAGCUGGUUUUAGAGGAUGAUCAGCAACACUGGGACUGAGACACGGCCCAGACUCCUACGGGAGGCAGCAGUGGGGAAUCUUAGACAAUGGGGGCAACCCUGAUCUAGCCAUGCCGCGUGAGUGAUGAAGGCCUUAGGGUCGUAAAGCUCUUUCGCCUGUGAUGA
Molecule: ribosomal RNA, 380 nt
Filed under: uncultured Leisingera sp.
Lineage: Bacteria; Pseudomonadati; Pseudomonadota; Alphaproteobacteria; Rhodobacterales; Roseobacteraceae
Description: bacterial SSU rRNA
Rfam family: Bacterial small subunit ribosomal RNA
Source: RNAcentral